This 1091-nucleotide ribosomal RNA is filed under the name uncultured apicomplexan. Its description in RNAcentral is "bacterial SSU rRNA". It matches the Rfam family "Eukaryotic small subunit ribosomal RNA", at positions 20 to 1162 of the family's 1831-position model. Lineage: Eukaryota; Apicomplexa. The record is from RNAcentral.
GUAGUCAUAUGCUUGUCUCGCAGAUUAAGCCAUGCAUGUCUAAGUGUAAAUAUUUUACAGUGAAACUGCGGAUGGCUCAUUACAACAGUUAUGGUUUGCUUGGAGCACUUCCCUACGGAUAUCCGUGGAAAUCCUACAGUUAAUACGUAUCACUUCUUUGAAGUGUUGCAUAUUGCUGUGAACUUUCGGCGAAGGCAACUUCGUCUCCAAUGAACACUUGUAUGCACGAAUCGUAUAUCUAUACGAAAGUCCAUCAAAGUUUCUGACCCAUCAGGUUCCGACGGUAAGGUAUUGGCUUACCGUGCCGAUAACGGGUAACGGGGGAUUAGGGUUCGAUCCCGGAGAGGGAGCUUGAGAAAUGGCUACCACAUCUAAGGAAGGCAGCAGGCGCGCAAAUUACCUAUCCCUGACACAGGGAGGUAGUAAACAGAAAUAAUGACGCAUGAUUCUAAUCGUGCGAUCGGAAUGAUUGGCUUUUAAACGAAGUCAAGAAAUCAAUUGGAGGAAAAGUCUGGUGCCAGCACCCGCGGUAAUACCAGCUCCAAUAGCGUAUAUUAUUGAUGUUGCAGUUGAAACGUUCGUAGUCGAACCUUAUCUGCUUAGGUAUUGUGGCAUCGAUGAUGUUGCUAUACUUUCAGCAGAGAUUGUGCAAAAGGCGUUGCGUGUUUCACGUAAUGGCUUUUGCAUCUUACUUUGAGUGAAUCGGCGUGUUCCACGCAGGCAUGUGCCUUGAACGAUUUACCAUAGCAUAAUCAGAGUAUGAGAAUACUCCCUUGUUUGUUCGGGGGUGUUUUCGAUACUGAUAAGAACGGUUGAGGGCAUUCGUAUUCAGCUGCCAGAGGUGAAAUUCUUUGAUUAGUUGAGGACGAACUAUUGCGAAAGCAUCUGCCAAGGACGUUUCUUUUGAUCAAGAACGAAAGUUGGGUGAUCGAAGAUGAUUAGAUACCGUUGUAGUCCUAACCAUAAACUUUACUAUCCAAGAAUUGGAUUGGUGACUUUACGCCUCUCCAGUACUUUCUGAGAAAUCAUAAGUCUUUGAGUUCUGGGGGGAGUAUAGUUGCAAGGCCGAAACUUAAAGGAAUUGACGGAAG